This 292-nucleotide ribosomal RNA is filed under the name uncultured bacterium. Its description in RNAcentral is "partial 16S ribosomal RNA". It matches the Rfam family "Bacterial small subunit ribosomal RNA", at positions 505 to 796 of the family's 1533-position model. The record is from RNAcentral.
GUGUCAGCAGCCGCGGUAAAACGUAGGAGGCGAGCGUUAUCCGGAUUUACUGGGUGUAAAGCGCGUGCAGGCGGUCGGCGAAGUUGGAUGUGAAAGCUCCUGGCUCAACUGGGAGAGGUCGUUCAAAACUGGUCGACUGGAGAGCAGUAGGGGAAGGUGGAAUUCCGGGUGUAGUGGUGAAAUGCGUAGAUAUCCGGAGGAACACCAGUGGCGAAGGCGGCCUUCUAGACUGUAUCUGACGCUCAGACGCGAAAGCUAGGGUAGCAAACGGGAUUAGAUACCCUUGUAGUCC